Molecule: ribosomal RNA, 497 nt
Filed under: uncultured bacterium
Lineage: Bacteria
Description: partial 16S ribosomal RNA
Rfam family: Bacterial small subunit ribosomal RNA
Source: RNAcentral
GAUGAACGCUGGCGGCGUGCCUAAUACAUGCAAGUCGAGCGAACAGACGAGGAGCUUGCUCCUCUGACGCUAGCGGCGGACGGGUGAGUAACACGUGGAUAACCUCCCUAUAAGACUGGGAUAACUUCGGGAAACCGGAGCUAUUACCGGAUAAUAUAUUGAACCGCAUGGUUCAAUAGUGAAAGACGGUUUUGCUGUCACUUAUAGAUGGAUCCCCGCCGCAUUAGCUAGUUGGUAAGGUAACGGCUUACCAAGGCGACGAUGUGUAGCCGACCUGAGAGGGUGAUCGGCCACACUGGAACUGAGACACGGUCCAGACGCCUACGGGAGGCAGCAGUAGGGAAUCGUCCGCAAUGGGCGAAAGCCUGACGGAGCAACGCCGCGUGAGUGAUGAAGGUCUACGGAUCGUAAAACUCUGUUAUUAGGGAAGAACAAAUGUGUAAGUAACUAUGCACGUCUUGACGGUACCUAAUCAGAAAGCCACGGCUAACUACGUG